Molecule: ribosomal RNA, 433 nt
Filed under: uncultured bacterium
Lineage: Bacteria
Description: partial 16S ribosomal RNA
Rfam family: Bacterial small subunit ribosomal RNA
Source: RNAcentral
AGCGAACGCUGGCGGCAGGCUUAACACAUGCAAGUCGAGCGGGCACUUCGGUGUCAUCGGCGGACGGGUGAGGAACACGUGGGGACGUACCCUUUGGUUCGGAAUAACGCUGGGAAACUAGCACUAAUGGCGGCUACGCCCAUUUGGGGAAAGGCUGGCUGCAGAAGGAUCGGCCCGCGUCUGAUUAGCUGGUUGGUGGUGUAAUGGCCUAGCAUGGCGACGAUCAUUAGCUGGUCUGAGAGGAUGAUCAGCCACACUGGGACGGAGACACGGCGCAGAAUCCUACGCGAGGCAGCAGUGGGGAAUAUUGGACAAUGGGGGCAAGGCUGAUGCAGCCAGGCCGGGUGAGUGAUGAAGGCCUUAGGGUUGUAAAGCUCUUUUGUCCGGGACGAUAAUGACGGUACCGGAAGAAUAAGCCCCGGCUAACUUCGUG